RNAcentral lists this ribosomal RNA (301 nucleotides) under uncultured bacterium. Its description in RNAcentral is "partial 16S ribosomal RNA". It matches the Rfam family "Bacterial small subunit ribosomal RNA", at positions 509 to 807 of the family's 1533-position model. The record is from RNAcentral.
CAGUCGCCGCGGUAAUACGAAGGGUGCAAGCGUUAAUCGGAAUUACUGGACGUAAAGCGUGCGCAGGCGGUUGUGUAAGACAGGUGUGAAAUCCCCGGGCUUAACCUGGGAACUGCGCUUGUGACUGCACAGCUAGAGUAUGGCAGAGGGGGGUGGAAUUCCACGUGUAGCAGUGAAAUGCGUAGAGAUGUGGAGGAACACCGAUGGCGAAGGCAGCCCCCUGGGCCAAUACUGACGCUCAUGCACGAAAGCGUGGGGAGCAAACAGGAUUAGAUACCCCAGUAGUCCCUGUCUCUUAUAC